AAAACGAUCUUGGCCAACGGAUAUUUGGGCUCUGGCUCGGAGGAAGAAGGAAGGGAAAUCGAAUACUGGGUGUGAAUGCCGGAAUCCCGGAAAUCAUGGAGUCUUUGAACGCAAGUGGCGCCCGCCCCCAUUCGCCGGAGGCCAUUUUUGCCGGGGGGCCACGC
Molecule: ribosomal RNA, 164 nt
Filed under: Fagus grandifolia (American beech)
Lineage: Eukaryota; Viridiplantae; Streptophyta; Magnoliopsida; Fagales; Fagaceae
Description: 5.8S ribosomal RNA
Rfam family: 5.8S ribosomal RNA
About the family: 5.8S ribosomal RNA (5.8S rRNA) is a component of the large subunit of the eukaryotic ribosome.
Source: RNAcentral